RNAcentral lists this ribosomal RNA (621 nucleotides) under uncultured Lachnospiraceae bacterium. RNAcentral describes it as "bacterial SSU rRNA". It matches the Rfam family "Bacterial small subunit ribosomal RNA", at positions 62 to 705 of the family's 1533-position model. The record is from RNAcentral. Lineage: Bacteria; Bacillati; Bacillota; Clostridia; Lachnospirales; Lachnospiraceae.
UCCUUCGGGACUGAUUAUUUUGUGACUGAGUGGCGGACGGGUGAGUAACGCGUGGGUAACCUGCCUUGUACAGGGGGAUAACAGUUGGAAACGGCUGCUAAUACCGCAUAAGCGCACAGCAUCGCAUGAUGCAGUGUGAAAAACUCCGGUGGUAUAAGAUGGACCCGCGUUGGAUUAGCUAGUUGGUGAGGUAACGGCCCACCAAGGCGACGAUCCAUAGCCGACCUGAGAGGGUGACCGGCCACAUUGGGACUGAGACACGGUCCAAACUCCUACGGGAGGCAGCAGUGGGGAAUAUUGCACAAUGGGCGAAAGCCUGAUGCAGCGACGCCGCGUGAGCGGAGAAGUAUUUCGGUAUGUAAAGCUCUAUCAGCAGGGAAGAUAAUGACGGUACCUGACUAAGAAGCACCGGCUAAAUACGUGCCAGCAGCCGCGGUAAUACGUAUGGUGCAAGCGUUAUCCGGAUUUACUGGGUGUAAAGGGAGCGCAGGCGGUGCGGCAAGUCUGAUGUGAAAGCCCGGGGCUCAACCCCGGUACUGCAUUGGAAACUGUCGUACUAGAGUGUCGGAGGGGUAAGUGGAAUUCCUAGUGUAGCGGUGAAAUGCGUAGAUAUUAGGAGGA